UACGUAGGUGGCAAGCGUUGUCCGGAAUUAUUGGGCGUAAAGCGCGCGCAGGCGGUCCUUUAAGUCUGAUGUGAAAGCCCACGGCUCAACCGUGGAGGGUCAUUGGAAACUGGGGGACUUGAGUACAGAAGAGAAGAGUGGAAUUCCACGUGUAGCGGUGAAAUGCGUAGAGAUGUGGAGGAACACCAGUGGCGAAGGCGCGUCUUGG
RNAcentral lists this ribosomal RNA (208 nucleotides) under uncultured bacterium. RNAcentral's name for it is "partial 16S ribosomal RNA". It matches the Rfam family "Bacterial small subunit ribosomal RNA", at positions 524 to 731 of the family's 1533-position model. The record is from RNAcentral.